RNAcentral lists this transfer RNA (75 nucleotides) under Acidobacteria bacterium RIFCSPLOWO2_02_FULL_65_29. Its description in RNAcentral is "tRNA-His". It matches the Rfam family "tRNA". From Rfam's summary of the family: Transfer RNA (tRNA) molecules are approximately 80 nucleotides in length. Their secondary structure includes four short double-helical elements and three loops (D, anti-codon, and T loops). RNAcentral also lists the same sequence under 3 other names. Lineage: Bacteria; Pseudomonadati; Acidobacteriota. The record is from RNAcentral.
GUGGGCGUAGUUCAGUGGCAGAACGCCUGACUGUGGCUCAGGAGGUCGCGGGUUCGAUACCCGUCGCCCACCCCA